UGAAGCGAUUCGGUCAAUUCUUGUUAUACUUAGUGGCGGACGGGUGAGUAACGCGUGGGUAACCUGCCGUAUGCAGGGGGACGAACAGUGGAAACGACUGCUAAUACCGCAUAAGCGCACAGUACCGCAUGGUAUAGUGUGAAAAGAUCUAUCGGCAUACGAUGGACCCGCGUCUGAUUAGCUAGUUGGUGAGGUGACGGCCCACCAAGGCGACGAUCAGUAGCCGGCCUGAGAGGGUGAACGGCCACAUUGGGACUGAGACACGGCCCAAACUCCUACGGGAGGCAGCAGUGGGGAAUAUUGGACAAUGGGCGAGAGCCUGAACCAGCCAAGUAGCGUGCAAGGACGACUGCCCUAUGGGUUGUAAACUGCCUUUAUGCGGGAAUAAAGUCAGGUACGUGUACCUGUUUGUAUGUACCGCAUGAAUAAGGACCGGCUAAUUCCGUGCCAGCAGCGGC
RNAcentral lists this ribosomal RNA (458 nucleotides) under uncultured bacterium. RNAcentral's name for it is "bacterial SSU rRNA". It matches the Rfam family "Bacterial small subunit ribosomal RNA", at positions 62 to 518 of the family's 1533-position model. The record is from RNAcentral.